AUGCAACGAGGAAAUUGGUCUGAUAAUCCUAGUCGUUCCUUCUGUAGAGAAACAGAGUCAUCUCAACAUCUUUUCUUCACAUGUCCAGUGGCUCGGGUGGUCUGCCAAUCCAUCGGAGUGGUGCUUGGGACUGACUUGUGUCCGAACAAUUACUGGCAGUAUUUUGCAUGGUGCUACACUUUUCUCCCUCAUGGGGAAAAGUUUUAUACUGUUGGCUUAGCGACUAUAUCUUGGGACAUUUGGUUAGUUCAGAAUCGAGCCACUUUUGAGAAAAAACUGAUGAAAACUCCUUUUGAGAUUGUUUUCUCCAUGUGAUCCUUCUUACUGUAUUGGGCACGUCUCCAACAGGGAGAAGAUGUGGUAAAACUUUGUUCUGGUGUUGAGAUAAUCAGAUCAAGCACGGUGAACUUGAUGAGGAUCUGCAAUGCGUCCAGGCAGCCGAUAGCAAGGGAGUGA
Molecule: ribosomal RNA, 456 nt
Filed under: Triticum aestivum (bread wheat)
Lineage: Eukaryota; Viridiplantae; Streptophyta; Magnoliopsida; Poales; Poaceae
Description: partial small subunit ribosomal RNA
Source: RNAcentral